RNAcentral lists this Y RNA (99 nucleotides) under Saimiri boliviensis boliviensis (Bolivian squirrel monkey). Its description in RNAcentral is "Y RNA (ENSSBOG00000006686.1)". It matches the Rfam family "Y RNA". From Rfam's summary of the family: Y RNAs are components of the Ro ribonucleoprotein particle (Ro RNP), in association with Ro60 and La proteins. The Y RNAs and Ro60 and La proteins are well conserved, but the function of the Ro RNP is not known. The record is from Rfam by way of RNAcentral. Lineage: Eukaryota; Metazoa; Chordata; Mammalia; Primates; Cebidae.
GGCUGGUCUGAGUGCAGUAGUGUGUACAGCUAAUUGAUUACAACUAGUUACAGAUUUCUUUGUUACUUCACUCCCACUGCUUCACCUGACUAGCUUUAA